AGCAGACGGGGCUAAGCGUUCCCCAGCUCGCCUUCACACACAGCCCGUGCCACCACGCCGACGGUACCAUGAAGGACGAGGUAGCUCUACUGGCUGCUGUCACCCUCCUGGGAGUCCUGCUGCAAGCCUACUUCUCCCUGCAGGUGAUCUCGGCGCGCAGGGCCUUCCGCGUGUCGCCGCCGCUCACCACCGGCCCACCCGAGUUCGAGCGCGUCUACCGAGCCCAGUGAGGCGCGGCGGGAGGGCGCGGGGCGGGGAGCGAGCCCCAGGCGGGUCCGGGUCGCAGGACCAUCCCGGCCGGCGCGCUCAUCCCACCCGCCCACCGCAGGGUGAACUGCAGCGAGUACUUCCCGCUGUUCCUCGCCACGCUCUGGGUCGCCGGCAUCUUCUUUCAUGAAGGUCGGGGUGUGGGGCAGGGGCGCACGCGCUGGACCCCCGGGACCCGCGCAGGGCGCUCACCAGGCCCGUGCGUACCUCUCGCAGGGGCGGCGGCCCUGUGCGGCCUGGUCUACCUGUUCGCGCGCCUCCGCUACUUCCAGGGCUACGCGCGCUCCGCGCAGCUCA
Molecule: small RNA, 564 nt
Filed under: Pan troglodytes (chimpanzee)
Lineage: Eukaryota; Metazoa; Chordata; Mammalia; Primates; Hominidae
Description: retained intron
Source: RNAcentral